GUGGAUUAGAUACCCUAGUAGUCCAUGCCCUAAACGAUGAAUACUAGACGUUGGGUGUAAAAACUCAGUGUCGCAGCUAACGCAUUAAGUAUUCCACCUGGGGAGUACGAUCGCAAGGGUGAAACUCAAAGGAAUUGACGGGGGCCCGCACAAGCAGUGGAGCAUGUGGUUCAAUUCGAUGCAACGCGAAGAACCUUACCUGGGCUUGACAUGUAAGCUAAAGCGAAUGAAAGUUCGUGUCCCGCAAGGGGAGCUUAUACAGGUGCUGCACGGCUGUCGACAGCU
RNAcentral lists this ribosomal RNA (285 nucleotides) under uncultured bacterium. RNAcentral's name for it is "partial 16S ribosomal RNA". It matches the Rfam family "Bacterial small subunit ribosomal RNA", at positions 773 to 1060 of the family's 1533-position model. The record is from RNAcentral.